RNAcentral lists this long non-coding RNA (529 nucleotides) under Mytilus galloprovincialis (Mediterranean mussel). The record is from RNAcentral. Lineage: Eukaryota; Metazoa; Mollusca; Bivalvia; Mytilida; Mytilidae.
GGUUUGUUGUGUGAUAGUACAUAUAUGUCUGAAUCCAAAUAUAUGUUGUUAUUCUAAAGUUCAUACAUAUUAUUAAUGUGAUAAAUAACUCUCUGUCAUAUACUAUCCUUGGAAAUGUUUUCUCUAAAUGUAAUAUCAAUGAACUACAAAAAUGUAUAUAUCUACUUCUAAAGUAAUUGCUUUUACUACAGGAAAUCAUUUUAUAACAGUAGACCAUGGAUCAUCAGGGGCGGAUCCAGCUAUUUUCAAAGGAAGGAUUCCCAACCCAUGAUAAAAAGGGGGGUCAAACCAUAUGUCCCCAUUCAAAUGCAUUGAUUGUCCAAAAAAAAAGGGGUGAUUCUGACCCCCAGAACCCCCUUCCAUUUUGGAUCAGCCACUGAUCAUUUUCAAUAGAUAAUAAAGUAAUAAAAAUAUCUUUCUUUUCUGGCAACUUCUUUUCAACUUUCUUUAAUUUAAAUCAUUCUGAAUAAAAUUUUAAACAAAACACUUCUGCAUGCUGUAAAGCCUGUAAUUAAGUUUUAUUUAAGAA